RNAcentral lists this ribosomal RNA (265 nucleotides) under uncultured bacterium. RNAcentral describes it as "partial 16S ribosomal RNA". It matches the Rfam family "Bacterial small subunit ribosomal RNA", at positions 524 to 776 of the family's 1533-position model. The record is from RNAcentral.
GACGAAGGAUGCAAGCGUUAUCCGGAUUCAUUGGGUUUAAAGGGUGCGUAGGCGGACUUGUAAGUCAGUGGUGAAAUCUCUCAGCUUAAACUGAGAAACUGCCCAUUGAUACUGCAGGUCUAGAAGUAUAGAUGACGUUUGGCGGAAUAUGACAUGUAGUGGUGAAAAUACUUAGAUAUGUCAUAGAAACACCGAUUGCGAAGGCAGCUAACGAAAACUAUAAACUGACGCUGAGGCAACGAAAAGUGCGGGGGAUCAAAACAGG